Molecule: long non-coding RNA, 447 nt
Organism: Thunnus maccoyii (southern bluefin tuna)
Lineage: Eukaryota; Metazoa; Chordata; Actinopteri; Scombriformes; Scombridae
Exons: 3
Source: RefSeq, a predicted model, not a curated record
CUAAGCUAAAAUGCCUUGCUGGGUUGCAGCAAAUUCGAGAAGGCUAACAGGAAUAUUCAGACCCUGAGGGAAGAUAUCAAGCGUUUGUCUGCUGAGCUCCAUGUGAUUUUCUGGGACCCAUCAGUGCGAUCAUGUCCUACCUCAACUCCAAUCGUUUGACUCCAAUUACCAAAAGUCCCUGGACAGAAGUGGUGGCUGUGGACAGGACAUGGAAGCUCCUAUUGUGUCGAGUGAGCUGUCAAUUAAAAGGAUUUUAAAGUGUUCUUCAAUCAACUAUUUUGCAAAGUAGGGUUCCUAGACCAGGUCUGAAACCCCGAUCUCCCAGACCACAGACGACUACGCUGACCACUCAGCCAAAGCUCAGCUCCACUAGACACACAGACCUGCAGCCAUUAACACAUUCAUGAUACAAAGACAGACAAAGUGGAGCAGAGAAGAAAGACAGAG